GAUGAACGCUGGCGGCGUGCCUAAUACAUGCAAGUCGAGCGAACAGACGAGGAGCUUGCUCCUCUGACGUUAGCGGCGGACGGGUGAGUAACACGUGGAUAACCUACCUAUAAGACUGGGAUAACUUCGGGAAACCGGAGCUAAUACCGGAUAAUAUAUUGAACCGCAUGGUUCAAUAGUGGAAGACGGUUUUGCUGUCACUUAUAGAUGGAUCCGCGCCGCAUUAGCUAGUUGGUAAGGUAACGGCUUACCAAGGCGACGAUGCGUAGCCGACCUGAGAGGGUGAUCGGCCACACUGGAACUGAGACACGGUCCAGACUCCUACGGGAGGCAGCAGUAGGGAAUCUUCCGCAAAGGGCGAAAGCCUGACGGAGCAACGCCGCGUGAGUGAUGAAGGUCUUCGGAUCGUAAAACUCUGUUAUUAGGGAAGAACAAAUGUGUAAGUAACUAUGCACGUCUUGACGGUACCUAAUCAGAAAGCCACGGCUAACUAUGUG
RNAcentral lists this ribosomal RNA (497 nucleotides) under uncultured bacterium. Its description in RNAcentral is "partial 16S ribosomal RNA". It matches the Rfam family "Bacterial small subunit ribosomal RNA", at positions 28 to 507 of the family's 1533-position model. The record is from RNAcentral.